AUUUAGAAGAAGAUAAUCCGUUACUUCUAAUAUGCUUAUGUUUGGUUAAGAAAAAGAAAUAAUCCACUCUUAAUCAAGAAAAGACAAAGCUUUGAUAUUGUAUGUGUACUCUUGGCAAUCUAUCAAGCAUACAAACUGGAAGAAGAUGCAUAAAGUUAUAGAAUCUGUGUAAAAAUGAAAGUGAAAAAAUAAAAGAAAGUAUGUAUAUUCAAAAAAGAAUAGAAAUGGCUAUUGCCAAAGAUUAGAAAACAUAAGUAUCUUGAAACUAAACUAAAAACCAAGAAAAGAGUUGAUAAGAGUGAGUAAGGCCCCACUCUUGCCUCUAUGUAUACUACUUAACUAAGGAAUAUGUGGCGACAUGCUAUAGGACCUCCAAAAUGUAUCCAACUUCUAGAGCCUAUGUCUAAUUUGCAAGACAAGUUUCCUAGGUGUGCGCCAUAUGUCCAACUUGUACUACAAGUGGUCAAUAUGUCGACAUGUGGCCUCCUUGUUG
Molecule: long non-coding RNA, 493 nt
Filed under: Physcomitrium patens
Lineage: Eukaryota; Viridiplantae; Streptophyta; Bryopsida; Funariales; Funariaceae
Description: long non-coding RNA (PPAT_LNC009781)
Source: RNAcentral